This 248-nucleotide long non-coding RNA is filed under the name Homo sapiens (human). RNAcentral describes it as "HSALNT0282671". The record is from RNAcentral. Lineage: Eukaryota; Metazoa; Chordata; Mammalia; Primates; Hominidae.
UUGUGGGAUCACAGAUGAGAUCAGGAGAAGGACAACUGAAAGGAGAAGAGAGGAGACCAUCUCACACUGUCCAAUAUCACACUGUCCUGAUUACCAUAGUUACCAUACACAUCUUGAAAUCAGGUCUCAAUCUAUGUCAUAUGAUCAAGGCUAACUGCAGUUUCGACCUUCUAAACUCAAGUGAUCUUCCCACCUCAGCCUCCUGAGUAGCUGGGACUACAGAAACGCACCUUUGCUAUUAAAAACAG